RNAcentral lists this ribosomal RNA (498 nucleotides) under uncultured bacterium. RNAcentral describes it as "partial 16S ribosomal RNA". It matches the Rfam family "Bacterial small subunit ribosomal RNA", at positions 29 to 523 of the family's 1533-position model. The record is from RNAcentral.
AUUGAACGCUGGCGGCAUGCUUUACACAUGCAAGUCGAACGGCAGCGCGGGGCAACCUGGCGGCGAGUGGCGAACGGGUGAGUAAUAUAUCGGAACGUACCCAGAAGUGGGGGAUAACGUAGCGAAAGUUACGCUAAUACCGCAUACGAUCUACGGAUGAAAGUGGGGGACCUUCGGGCCUCAUGCUUGUGGAGCGGCCGAUAUCUGAUUAGCUAGUUGGUAGGGUAAAGGCCUACCAAGGCGACGAUCAGUAGCCGGUCUGAGAGGACGACCAGCCACACUGGGACUCAGACACGGCCCAGACUCCUACGGGAGGCAGCAGGGGGGAAUUGUGGACAAUGGGCGCAAGCCUGAUCCAGCAAUGCCGCGUGAGGGAAGAAGGCCUUCGGGUUGUAAAGCUCUUUUGUCCGGAAAGAAAUGGCUCUGGUUAAUACCUGGGGUCGAUGACGGUACCGGAAGAAUAAGGACCGGCUAACUACGUGCCAGCCGCCGCGGUAA